This 429-nucleotide ribosomal RNA is filed under the name bacterium. RNAcentral's name for it is "partial 16S ribosomal RNA". It matches the Rfam family "Bacterial small subunit ribosomal RNA", at positions 355 to 776 of the family's 1533-position model. The record is from RNAcentral.
UAGGGAAUCUUCGGCAAUGGGGGCAACCCUGACCGAGCAACGCCGCGUGAGUGAAGAAGGUUUUCGGAUCGUAAAGCUCUGUUGUAAGAGAAGAACGUGUGUGAGAGUGGAAAGUUCACACAGUGACGGUAACUUACCAGAAAGGGACGGCUAACUACGUGCCAGCAGCCGCGGUAAUACGUAGGUCCCGAGCGUUGUCCGGAUUUAUUGGGCGUAAAGCGAGCGCAGGCGGUUUAAUAAGUCUGAAGUUAAAGGCAGUGGCUUAAUCAUUGUUCGCUUUGGAAACUGUUAAACUUGAGUGCAGAAGGGGAGAGUGGAAUUCCAUGUGUAGCGGUGAAAUGCGUAGAUAUAUGGAGGAACACCGGUGGCGAAAGCGGCUCUCUGGUCUGUAACUGACGCUGAGGCUCGAAAGCGUGGGGAGCAAACAGG